GACGAACGCUGGCGGCGUGCUUAACACAUGCAAGUCGAACGAUGAAGCCGGAGCUUGCUCUGGUGAAUUAGUGGCGAACGGGUGAGUAACACGUGAGUAACCUGCCCUUGACUCUGGGAUAACUGCUAGAAAUGGUAGCUAAUACCGGAUACGACCCUCGGAGGCAUCUCCAGGGGGUGGAAAGAAUUUCGGUCAAGGAUGGACUCGCGGCCUAUCAGCUAGUUGGUGAGGUAACGGCUCACCAAGGCGACGACGGGUAGCCGGUCUGAGAGGACGACCAGCCACACUGGGACUGAGACACGGCCCAGACUCCUACGGGAGGCAGCAGUGGGGAAUUUUGGACAAUGGGGGCAACCCUGAUCCAGCCAUGCCGCGUGCGGGAAGAAGGCCUUCGGGUUGUAAACCGCUUUUGUCAGGGAAGAAAUUGUCCGGGCUAAUACCUCGGGCCGAUGACGGUACCUGAAGAAUAAGCACCGGCUAAC
This 482-nucleotide ribosomal RNA is filed under the name uncultured bacterium. Its description in RNAcentral is "partial 16S ribosomal RNA". It matches the Rfam family "Bacterial small subunit ribosomal RNA", at positions 28 to 501 of the family's 1533-position model. The record is from RNAcentral.